AUUGAACGCUGGCGGCAGGCCUAACACAUGCAAGUCGAGCGGAUGAAGGGAGCUUGCUCCUGGAUUCAGCGGCGGACGGGUGAGUAAUGCCUAGGAAUCUGCCUGGUAGUGGGGGAUAACGUCCGGAAACGGGCGCUAAUACUGCAUACGUCCUGCGGGAGAAAGAGGGGGAUCUUCGGACCUCACGCUAUCAGAUGAGCCUAGGUGGGAUUUGCUAGCUGGUGGGGUAAGGGCCUACCAAGGCGACGAUCCGUAACUGGUCUGAGAGGAUGUUCAGUCACACUGGAACUGAGACACGGUCCAGGCUCCUACGGGAGGCAGCAGUGGGGAAUAUUGGGCAAUGGGCGGAAGCCUGAUCCAACCAUGCCGCGUGUGUGAAGAAGAUCUUCGGAUUGUAAAGCACUUUUAGUUGGGAGGAAGGGCAGUAAGUUAAUACCUUGCUGUUUUGACGUUACCAACAGAAUAAGCACCGGCUAACUUCGUG
This 484-nucleotide ribosomal RNA is filed under the name uncultured bacterium. Its description in RNAcentral is "partial 16S ribosomal RNA". It matches the Rfam family "Bacterial small subunit ribosomal RNA", at positions 30 to 507 of the family's 1533-position model. The record is from RNAcentral.